Molecule: long non-coding RNA, 8305 nt
Organism: Triticum aestivum (bread wheat)
Lineage: Eukaryota; Viridiplantae; Streptophyta; Magnoliopsida; Poales; Poaceae
Exons: 4
Source: RefSeq, a predicted model, not a curated record
GUCAUCUCGACCUCCAGACUCGAGCGCUUCGCCGCCUCCCGCCGGCCGCCCCCCUCUCCCCCCGUCACCGCGCGCCGCCACCGACGCCGUGGCCGUUGGCGGCUCCCCCCGCCCCUGCUACCAUGGUGCCGCCGGGACUCCUCCCCGCUGCUGAAAUUCCCCAUCGCCAUCCCAAGGGCCUCGCCCGCCGCGCUCCCCUGGACCCUGAGCGCCGCCGCCCCAGCCACCCUCGAGCCUCCACCAGGUGACCCCAGGCGCCGCUGAUCCCGUGUGCUGCUGCUCGAAGAUUCCCCUGCUUGCUGCCCUCUCCCUCCCACUCCACGGUGCACGGGGCAGGGGGAACUGGGUGGCGGCGGCGGCAUGAUCUCCGGUAAGCGGCGGGGCCUAGCGGCGGGGCCGGGAUCCGGUGGCGGCGGCAAGCUCCUGUAGGUAGGCGACGAGCGAGAGAGAGGGAUUGAGAGAAGGGGAGAGAGAUGGAAGGAAGGAGAAGAAGACGAGCAUGGGCAGUGGGGCGUAGGAGAGAGAGAGGGCGGAGGCAAGGAGGAUAAGGACAGAUGGCAGGGGGCGGCCUGUGUGAUUGCUCCGGUGAUGGCGUCCGGCGUAGGUUCAUACCUCGGCGCGCAGCCGCAAUCCCUCCCCUCCACCGUCUCCACGUGGUGUAGGCUGCUGCAAUCUCGCUAUCCCAGCGAUAUCCCAGAUGCGCGCCACAGCCAGCCAACAAGACCACUAUGUAGCUCAGGCCCAGAAUUGGUCAAUUUUAUACAGCUGCAAUACACAACGACACACAAAAUAGAUGCUCCUAGGCUCGAUCUUUCUACUGCAACAUACUCGCCCAAUACUUAUUAUCGCACUUUUCUCAACUAACCAUACUCUGUCCCUUGAGGAGGAUUUCAGGGGAGAUCGACUACUGUAAGUCUGACGAUAACAAGAGGCUGAUAUUUGAGCUGGACUCUUGCGGACAACAGGUUCAGGAGCUCCAAGCCAACAACGGCCAUUGCCUUGAAAAAGAUGUAAGAUUUCUACUAUCUAGCUUCUGUCACAAGAUUUGCUAUAGCCUGUUAUUUUGUAUGGCAGUCAGUUUUGUUGUAAGAAUGAGUAAUAGAUCUAUUGUUCAAUUCUUGUUUGAGAUAGAAUACAAGUUAUGUUAAAUAUUCAAUGUUUAUUGAACAUGACCAUAGUGGAAAAGGCUUUAAAGAUAAGAGAUGAGAUAUUUUUUCCUUUAACAGUUCAAUUUCUGAAAAAAAUUCAACACAAUAGCCGAAUUUAUUCCAAUUUUCACAUAUAAUACUUGCCGCUAAGAACUUAUAGGUAUAUGCUUUCACAUGCAGUCCUGUCUUUGCUAACACGUAUGGUGUCAGUUUAGAAAGACCUACGUAAUGUUGUUUUGAUUCUUGGCUUUAGGGGAAAAGGGAUAGGUUCAGAAAAUAUUUAUCUAGAAUAGAUGUAUAUUUAUGUAAGAGGAUAGAUGUACUUACUUACAGAACUACAGUUUGCUGCAGUUGCUAGGGACUGUAGAUUACGGUUCUAAUUAAUUCUUUUGCAUUUCAGUCUGUCAUUCAUUGUUACUUGAAUGUUUCUCUUUUUGUGAUCUCCCAUAGAAGCUUUUUGUUUGUUUUUUCACUAGAACAGCUCUACACGCCUUGUGAAAUUUCUGAUGUAGUUUGGAAAUAUGAGUGAGAACUGCAAGUACGUUGAUACUGCCCUCUAUGUAUUGAAUCCAAGGAUUUUUUUUUAAUAUAUAUUCUUUUUGUUAAUUUCAAGGGAGGAAGAGAACUCCAGUACUAUGGUAAUGUUCUUGAUUCUGAUUCUCCAUGAUUGAUAAUGUUGUUUAGGACCCUAAGCUUUGUCAUGGCUGAUUUAAAUAGGCACAGCUGGUUUAGAAGGAAAGCACUGCUACUAAUUUUAGAACUAGGAUGUCGUAUUUGACAGCUGUCAGGUAUUGCUUAUUUGCAUUGUAAGAUCACAAUUCUAAGGUUAAUCUUUUUAGUUGUGUAGCAUUGCAUAUUUGGGUCCUUGAAUUCUCUCCUCGAAGAUCAACGCAUUUGGUCAGAUUUGGCUUAUUUAAUAAUUAGCAAACAAUAAAUAUUGAACAUCUAUUCAGUGCGACAUUUCUUACGGAUGGUCAGGUCGACAGCGGCAACAUCGUCUUCAUUGUACCAAGGUGCUGCUACUACUACAACGGCAACCUCCUACUUCCCGAACAUGACCAUUGCAGCUAUCCUUGCUGUAAAUUUUGUCUCUUUUCUUUCUCAUAAAUUAUGGACAUAUGGGCAUUCUGAUCAGGUAACAUUCUUCUCUAAGAUUUGAUAUUUGAAGCAUGAUGUUUGCGAUCAGGUAAUUUUCCUAGGGUCUUUCAGAUGUCAAUGUUGAUGGAAAAUACACAUGUUGCAUACCUUUUUUGAAAUCAGAAGUGGAUACUAACAUUUCACAUCAUGACAUUGUAGUUUAUAGUGCUAAGCUUGACUCCUCCAUGGUUAUAAUAAUGGACUUACAGUGAGUUGAUUUGUAGUUAACUUUGUCAUUAAGUGGCUGGCUUUUAUCUGAACAAUGCAGUCUUGCAUUCUCUAGGGAGCCAGAGCAAGUCCUUCCUUCCGAUUUGAAUUUGGGGAUUCGAUGAUUUCUGUCGGAUAUAUCAUGUCUAUUUGAUCAGAAAACAUGAGAUGCAAAACAUGUUUUUCCAGCAGAAAUGAAUUCAUGGACUGGAACUCCUACAGAUUUGAAGUUGCAUGCUGGAUCGACUGCAUAUUUUAUUAAGGGUUUAUCAGUUCAUCAUUCCCAUUAGUUCAAUCGUGGCUGCAGUAACGAGUUUGCCACUACUUCAAUGGAUAUAAUGGAGCAUAGUCGUCAUUAUGUAUGCAAAAGCAUGUAUCAAAAUUUGAAUUACCACGGCGCAUUUAAUUCUCUUGGAGUACUAAACAGUCAUGCGGCUCUCCACAGAUUUCUUCCAAAUGCCUUGCAAAGUUCCGCAGAGAACAAGCUAUCUCGGAAUUUCUUCCAAAUGCAGCAAGUUCCGAGCAAGCAAAACUAUACUCUGUAAAUAAUCUUCCUGAACCAGAGUUCUUAAUUUUCUUUCUAUUUUUACCUUUUCCUGUACUGGAUUUUAAUGUACUGAACACUCUCCUUAAUCAAUGGGAGCAACACCUGAUUGCCUUCAUAUAAAGAAACACAAUGUAAACACAUAAUAUACGAUGUAUAGCUAGCAGGAACAGGACAAAAAUGCUGCUCGAAGGUGAGUGGAAGUGCAUGAUUUUCUAGAUUUAUUUUCUUGACAGAAGUUGCUAUAUUCUCAAUAUACGUCACAGUUGUAAUCAUUUAAAGCAGCAAAUCAGUUAUAGAGUUGUAGUAAUGCAAGUGAUUAAAAUCCCUUGCUAAUUAAAAUUGUAGUUUUUUUAUUUCACCGUAAUGUUUUUUUGGAGAACGAUCAUGCAUGUUUCUAAUACAUAGGUUGAGAUAAGUAGACGAAGGUUCAGUGAACACACGAGUAUGACAGCCAUAUCAUUUCCAGUAAAAAAAAGUGUUGAGAUAUUUAGCUCCCGUACAAUCAGUAUGAAUUUAUAUCUAUAUGUGAACAAAUAAUUUUAGGCUGAAGAUCACUAGAACCAGCAUGAAAAAUUGACCUCUCAAAACAUGAAAACAGUGGCUUACUUCAGCCGUCAAGCUUAAGAGUGGUUCACAAUUAACAGCUGAGUUCACAAAUGUGGCUCAACUUGAAUUGUUUUAUGUUGGACAUUAUAAUUUUUGUGAGGUUUUGUUGUUCGCCCGUUGCAACGCACGGGCACUAGUAAUAAUAAAGCAAUUUGGGUUUCUGUCAUUCGUUGUCGCCGUUUUUACAAAAACAUCCUUAUAGUUUUUGGUAAUUAAACCCGCAGUCCCUUUUUAAGUUGAAAAAACGUUUCGUUUAGAAAUUUUACCAGGAAAACCUUGUGGUUUCCUGUAUUCAACCGGCGGUCCUUUUAAUGUGAGAAAAUCGCAAGGAAGACAGGCGGGUCUGGGCGCAGCGUCGAGGGAUCUGGCGGCUGGUGCGGCGGCUUGCUCCAGUGGCCGCGGUGUCCUGCUCAUCCAGAGAAACAGGGCAUGAGGGAGAGAGGAAAGAGAUGAAAAAGGAGAAGGAGCAGGGGCGCAAGGUGAGGGAGAGGGAUCUGGCGGGUGGUGCGGGGGGCUUCGGUGGCGGCGGCGUCCUUCUCAUCCAGAGAAAGGGAGAGACAGGGCGUGAGGGAGAUAGGAAAGAGAGGAAGAAAGGAGAAGGAGAGGGGGCGCAAGGUGAGGGAGAUGGUCGCCGGCGGUGGCGCCCCCGGUGACCGGCCGGCGGCAGGCCCGAUGGUGUCUGGAGUUUUGGACACCUGCGCGAGCUACCCUGCUGCUGCUAAUUCUUCUCUGCCCACGCCUCUGCUGCUGCUCCUUCUACUCCUCAGAUGCCCAUGCUUGCUCUGAAACAAUCAUUGUUGAAGGACUAAAGGGCAUGAUUUCUGGACCACAGAUGAUGCAUUUUAUUGGCAGGCACAAUCAAGGGCCCAUCAUCUUUCUGCUAUAGGAGCGACUGAACAAUUGCAAAAAUCUAAGCAAGAAGAAGAUAGUUGACCCCACGGACUGCCCCAUGUGCAUGCAGGCAUCCGAAGACUGCACUCAUCUGUUCUUGUUCUGCCCCAAUGUUAGACCGAUCUAGACAGCCACUGGUAUCAACCACAAAUGCAGAGACAUCAAAGAUGUUUGGGUGUUUAAUCCCCCAACUCCACUUCCAGCUUCUCUGCAAACUUUCAUGACGCUGUUGGUUCUUUGGAAAAUCUUGGACUCCAGGAAUGCAUGGGUUUCAGGAAAAAUCGACUCUCACCAGUCGAUGUACUAAAAUGAUGUUGGUCUUUGGCCUGAUUUCUUCUCCUUAAGGUAAACGAUUGUCCUGUAAUACCCCUAUUUCUCCUUAAGUGAAAAUUCAGGUGGGGAAGCCCCCAUCCCCCCUCCUACAUCACCUAGCCUGGUAUCGUAACAAGUUUUAUUUUGAAUGUCUGGAACGUCUAGAAACUUUUCACUAAGUGCCCUCACAAAUCUUAUAAGUAAAUGAUGUUCUCUAUGAAUUUUUAUUUUACAAGCUGCAACUAUGUUACGAUUUUCUCCCCUGCCUGCAAGUUGGUACAGAGCCGAAACCCAACUGUCUUCCAAUGGAGGUUUGUGCAAAUGGAGGCCAAGUUGCUGUUGUGGUGGUAUGGUUGGUAGGUUAUGGUUUCACGUUCCACUGCAGAUUAAGAAGGCUCUCAAGGGUCUGAGAGUUGAGGUCUCCCACCGAGGAGAGGUGCGCAGGAAGUACCGCAUCAAUGGCUUGACAAAGCAGUCUAGCAGAGAUUUGACCGGCGAAACCAAGACUGUGAGGGACUACUUUCGAGAAACCUGCAAGCUGCAACUAAGUUACGAUUUUCUCCCCUGCCUGCAAGUUGGUACAGAGCAGAAACCCAACUAUCUUCCAAUGGAGGUUUGUGCAUUGGAGGCCAAGUUGCUGCUGUGGUGGUAUGGCAAGACUGUGAACUCAACUCAUCGGCUGUGGCAAAAUGAUCUCCCUACAAGUACUAACUAAUUUGCAUAUAUGCUCUGGUUCUCAUGUUACUAUAUGAAUUAGGUGCCUCCAAAUAAAUUCUCAAAAAUAGAAGUUUUAAAAAAUAAGUUAGUUCGGAUUUAGCACGCGGGUCUUGUUGCAAUUGCUUGCGUCAAUUCUAGCUCAUUUCUUUGUAUUCUCUUAGUUAGUUCAUUAUUCAGGCUCUGCUACUUAUCAUCAUUUAUUAUUUCUUCACAUGCAUUAUUCUGAACCUUGAGUCCAUCUUCACAUGCAUUUGUUGUUCUGAUAUAUCAUAAGUUUGAGCCCAACUCUUCGGUUGUUUUUUGAACCUUUGACAUAUAUUACCUGAUUGGUACAUUUGCUCGAUGGAGGACCUACCGGAGGCUCUGGUGACAGAGAUUCUCAAGAGGAUCACCAAACUCUCUUUCCCUUGUGUCAAAGCAGCUCUACAAAAUAGAGGGGAAUCAAAGGGGUGCUAUCCACGUUGGUUCCGAUCUUUGCACUGCUAGAAAACCACUGACAUCAUUGUGCACCUGGUUCCCGAAUUUGCGGAAAUUUGAAAUCAAUUACUCUGGCUGGAUACCAGAGUUGUGCAAAUGGAAGCCAAGUUUCUGCUGUGGUGGUAUGGUAACUGGUAAGAUUGAACUCAACCCAUCGGCUGUGGCAAAAUGAUCUCCCUACAAGUACUAACUAAUUUGCAUACAUACUCUGAUUCUCAUGUUACUGUAUGAAUUAGGUGUCUCCAAAUAAGUUCUCAAAAAAAUAAAAAAUAAAAAUAAGUUGGUUCAGAAUCAGCACGUGGCUCUUGUUGCAAUUGCUUGCAUCAAUUCUAGCUCAUUUCUUUGUAUUCUCUUAGUUAGUUCAUUAUUCAGGCUCUACUACUUAUCAUCAUUUUUGGCCCAGGAAAACAGUGUCAUGAUUUAUAAACUAAAUGAAAAUAUUAUCCUCAGCUGAGUGUCUUUGCUGAGGGUCAAUUUCUUUAGGAGCAGGCAAAACCGCCUCGAUGCAGAGAGAUCUGCCAUACAUGCACCGUUGUCUCGAAACACUUUACUUCAUUGUGUGCUUUACUGACUGAAUAACUACUUCUGAUUCUUGUCAAAGGUUGAAGCUGUGAAGAAGAUAAUCAAGUACGUAUGAUGCAGUUUAGGAGAGUUGUCAAAGAGCAUGGUUAGUUUGUUCUGUUAUAGUACUAAAUUCAUAGAUGGUGGUGUAGCUGUACUGUUAUGUCGUGUUCAGCAGCGAUAAGACCAUUGCUCUUCAUGUUUUUAGUUUAAUCUGUACUAAUUCAGAAAGAUUAGUCACAUAUUGGUCGUUGUUAGCCACCUGAAGUUAAUGGGAGAGGAAGGAGCAUGAGUGGUCUUUUCUUUUCGUUUCACAAAUUAACCACAAGUUAAAUGCAGGGUGAGAGCAUGUGCAGAUUAAUUUUUUACCGACUGGAACAGGCUAUCAAAGAUUGUUCUAUCUGUCUUGGAAAAAUGUGUUCAAAGUGAAUUCUUUCAAGAGCUGAUCCUAUUUAUUAACUUAUGUAAGUCCUUAGAUUCUAUGGCCGCAAUCCAGAAGCUUUAUGAGAUUUGCCAAGUAUAUUAUGAAAAACGGUCGUCAUCUCCUGAAGCCGUCGAAAAUGUUUGUGUCGUAUUAGUUAAGAACUACAUGGAGAAUUGACACUAACCAAACUAAAUGCCUUACUAUUGAUUACCCACAUAUUAUAUUGUGAGCAUGGGAUGUAUUUCUAUGCUUGGAGAAAAACACAUUAUUAUUAAUUACAUUAUAUUUCAUUAUUGGAUGUGUUCCUAUACUAUCUUGAAUAAACAGAAACUUCAUAUAUAAUUACCCGAGCAGGUGCGCCACAUUGUUCUUUUUAUUUUAUUUUGUAGUAACAAAAGGGCAAUGGCACUCACAUUUGAAUAUCCACAUCGUCGACUGGCGGGCCGAAGGAGGGCACCCUAGAGCGGAUGCCCACUCAACCGGGCCUUGGCAAGGACACCUGCCUCAUGCCGUUGCACGCUCAUGUGCUCUACUAUUCUGAAUCGUUGGGCAGAUGAGGAGUAGGAGGCCAUGGGUGGCAUUGGGUCUGACCAAUGGCUUGAGGACCUUCUUGACAACAAGAUUACCGUGCCAUGCUGUCGUGUUGGGUCAUCACGGUGACCAUGGACAGUCGGGCUUCAUGGUGGGGCUGGGAUGGACCCCUGGUAGGAUCGUAGGCAAUGUCGCUUGCUCUGCCACGUCAUUAUACGCGAUCCAGGGCAAGAGGAUAUCAACCAGGACACAGUUGUAUCCCCAUUGCAACGCAGAGGUUUCAUAUAACAAAAGAUAUUAUUCUCUAAUAUGAAUCUGUAAGAAAAGAUAUGUCAUACAUUUGUGGAAAUUGAUAAUGUAAGCUAAUCUCAAAACUUUAUUUCAAGAUUGAUUACUCGGUGGUGCUAACUUCCAUUUUCUCAAAACAGGAUGUGCAUGCUAUUUCUGAAAAGAGAAGCUUCUAUGUUGGCUGGCAUCCCUGGUGGUAGUUUAAGAUAUCUAGCAAAUGAAAGGGCGCCUCAUAAUUCAUUGGAUAUAGACCAGUAGGGUCAAUUACAUAUAGUUGGCUGUAAAUGACUUUCAGUUUCUAGCUUAAAUAUAGUUUUAGAUAUCUAGAUAUGUACUCUUUAACAGUAUGAUGUGCUUGAUGGUGGCCCUAUGUGUUGGUUGAAAUUAUCACGUUCUUUACGAGCAGUUGCAGUGCUCUUAUUAUUUUAUUUCCACAAAUAUCAUCACAUUUUCCCUCAA